This 213-nucleotide long non-coding RNA is filed under the name Elaeis guineensis (African oil palm). RNAcentral's name for it is "long non-coding RNA (EGUI_LNC030955)". The record is from RNAcentral. Lineage: Eukaryota; Viridiplantae; Streptophyta; Magnoliopsida; Arecales; Arecaceae.
AGGUGACUAUGAUUUGGGUCUAGCCAAUGGGGCUGAUCAUUGGCCACACAUCAGAAAUAUAUUUCUUCCAGACCUAGCCAAGCGGGCUUGAUCGCUGGUACACGUUGAUGCGUCGCAUAUAUAUAUAUUAGAGCUAGUCUCUUUACCUUGUCAUGGGAUGAAUCAUAGCUGUGUGAAUCAGAGCCAAUUUCUUUCAGGCCUAGCUAGUCGGGG